GGCUGAGUGGCGCAAUGGUAGCGCGUUACUUUCCGGUUUCCACAGUUGGUAAAGGUUCUGGGUUCGAGCCCCAGCUUGGUCG
Non-coding RNA from Cercophora newfieldiana, 82 nucleotides. The record is from the annotation of a GenBank genome assembly. Lineage: Eukaryota; Fungi; Ascomycota; Sordariomycetes; Sordariales; Lasiosphaeriaceae.